UCUUCCAUCUUUGGAGUCCACAAAUGUGCCAAAAGGCCAUGUUCCUGUCUAUGUUGGAGAAACUCAGAAGAAGAGAUUUGUGAUUCCAAUUUCAUACUUGAAGCAUCCUUCAUUCCAAAACUUGCUAAGUCAGGCUGAGGAAGAGUUCGGGUUUGAUCAUCCACUGGGUGGCCUCACUAUCCCAUGCAGAGAAGAAGCCUUCAUUGAUCUAACUUACAGUUUGAACUGCUCAUGAGCAAGGAGGAAGAUCUCAAAAUGGAUGGCUUCAAGCUCUCGUCUCUCUAACACCACUUACCCCAAAAUCCAGUCCCAACAAUUUUGUAUUACUGAGAAAAAGGUCUUUUUGAAGUGACAACGAUAUAGUUUUCUUCUAUUUUUCUGUAAAGCAAUUAGUUGACAGUCAAAUGUCUUCAUCUUAAUCACACAGAAAUAACCAUGUUCCUUUCUCUUCUUUUCAAAAGAAAGCAUGUUGUUUCUUUUCUCCCUUGUGAUUCCUCACUAGCCAAGAAGAUGUUUCAUUUUCUCAGUUUUUCGUCUUUCCAUUACAUCCAUCCAACAAUUGGCUUCUCCUUAUGUGUAAAGCACCAUCAUUCUAAUUUGUAAAACACCCAGCUCUGACAUUGAAAUAAAACUUCAGAUAAACAUGAAAGACGUAAGCUGCCAUCAACAUGAAAAGUAGAGAUAUAUUCAAGGAAUAUUCACAGCUGGAGGCAAAAGGGAGAACAGUAGUUAACAUUGGAAGUGAGAUACUUUAGUACACCAACUUGCAAGGCACACUCUCAUGAAGAGCACAUGAAGUGCCUCCUACUAGGCCCAAGGCAGUAGAAUCCAUUUUAAAACACAAGAUCAUUGGUUGCAGUGUUGACUUGGAAAAGUUGAAUCAUUAACAUGGCCCUUCCUCAUCUCUCUCUUUCAAUUUUUGUUGAAUAAAACUGAAUGAACGACUUAGCCCCGUGAAGAUCAAUUAAAUAUGGUAAAUAUUUAUAUAUAACUUGUAUCAACUCACUCUUACUAAUCAUGGACAUAUUAUCCAUUUUGGGACUAAAGUACCCUUAUGGUUUUAAAAUAGAUAUAGAGGAUUAAGAGUUCAUAUAUAUAUAUAUAUAUAACAUAAAAACCUUUUCCCCUAUCUGAUAUAAGAUAUUACAAUGACCCUCCAUAUAGAUACAAUAUUUUAAUUUGUUAUAUCUCGUGGGAUUAUGGGGCCAAACAAACAAACAUUCCUUGCGAAACCAAACAAACUCUCACACAAGGAUUAGGGAUCGACUCUAAUACUAUUUGUAACACCUAUUUCUAAUUGUAUAAAUAUCAUCCACUCUACACCCAAGGAACCCUUAGGGUUUUAAAACACAUUUGUAUGAUUGAGAGGAGCUCAUACAUAGAUAGUAUUAGGGAAAAAGUUUUCCUUGUUUGAUGUCGAAUAUCAAUAUCCUAUAUUAUUAUCAUUAUAUCGAUCCCACAAAAUUGUAGAACCAAACAAACAAAUACCCCUUACUCUUAAUCAUGUAAAUAUUAUCCACUUUGCACCGUAAAUACUCUCAUGACUUUAAAACGUGUCUACAAGAUUAAAAGUAAUCUAUACAUAUAUAGCACCAAGAAUUUUUUUUCCCAUUCAAUGUGGGAUAUCACAACCCCCUCCUCCAUAUAAAUACAAUGUUCUUGUGGGGCCAAACAAACUUCUACAUCUUAUGGGGCCAAACAAACUUCUACAUCAAGGUCAAGAAUAAACUCUAAUACCAUUUGUAAUUACUCACUCCUAAUUGUGUAGGUAUUGUCUGCUCUAGACUAAGACCCUUAUGACUUUAAACGCAUUUAUAGGAUUAAGAAGAGUCCAUACAAAUAUAACGUCAAGAACUUUUUUCAUUAUCCAAUGUGGGUUAUUACAACCAUCUCACCUCCCAUGCAAGCACAACAUUAUCUUUAAGUCCCAUGAGAUUACAAGGCUGAGCAAACAGACAACCCUUCUCUUGUCCCCAGUUGUCCUACCCUUGGAAAUGUUUCCACCCAGUUUUCAGUUUCAAACAUAAUCCUAUUUCUAUCCUUCUCCAUGGAUUCAAGUUCUAAAAUUCUGUCUGGGUGCUUUAUCAAAGAUGCAAUCAACAUUAGCACUUCUCUAAACAUGUAGAUUGGUUUUUGAUGAUUUUGAAGAAUCCAAACUGUAAUAGACAAGAUAAAAUGGGCACCACUUGUCUUUAAGGUUCAAAGAAGGCCAUUCAUUUGAAAUUACAUUUACAUUUACAUUUACAUAUACAUUUGAAAUCACUUCUUUUAGAUGACUACUAUUUCUACAUCAAUUACAACAAUAGGAAUAGGAUACCAAAACUAGAAAUCUUUUUAUUAAUAACCAUAAUCAUAAGUUGUUCUUUCGUGAAAUGAUGCUGAAUUUUCUCUUAGUUGAAGAUUUAGCCUUACUAGAAUGAUAGAAUCCAAAAUAUUUAAACAAGGCACGAUGGAUUUUAAUGGAGUAAGCCUUUAAAUAGAUUUGUUUUCGUUGAUAAGCUGCAAAUGGGUACUGGAAACUUAUGGCAGUAACAUUUACUAAAUGGCUGCCAGAGGAUGACAAAUAACAUAAGAAAAAGGUAAAGCUAUGCAAUUAAGAUGAACAAAUUUGGUUUUCAAUUUGUUUUGAGAAAAAUAGAAUAAAUUUACAUUGUUCUCUUGAGGAAAAAAGAACCCAACUCAUAAUUCAAAAAUUGUUGGGUUGGUUUCUGUGGUCAAUGGUGUGACAGAUUUGGUAUCCUUCAGGCUGGUCAUUAUGUGACUUUCCUCCUUGCUCAUGAGCAAUUCAAGCCACAAGUUAGAUUGAUGAAGGCUUCUUCUCUGCAUGGGAUUGUAAGUCCACCCAGUGGAUGAUCAAACCCGAACUCUUCCUCAGCCUGACUUAGCAAGUUUUGGAAUGAAGGAUGCUUCAGGUAUGAAAUUGGAAUCACAAAUCUCUUCUUUUGAGUUUCUCCAACGUAGACAGGAACAUAGCCUUUGGGCACAUUUGUGGGCUCUGGAGAUGGAAGAAUGCGUCUCAGGAUCUGCUUGGCAGGAAUAAUCCUCUGAAAACGGAUAGCCAUGAGUUUCAAACUUAGUUCUUCAAACCAAAGUGGUUGAGAGAAAUGGAUUUCUAGAUGUUUGGGAAGCAAGAAAAGCUUUGAUACCUGGUUGUUGUGGCCAUAGAAUAGAUGUAUUUAUAGAACAAAUGCAAUAAGGCCAGUUUUCUCAAAUGCAAUGAAUGGUGGAAAGACAAUUGCAAUGGGGGUCCCUUAAAGAAGAUAUAUCACAGGUCAUCACAUGGUCUUGUCUCUGAUGCUUUCAUGUAUUUGUUGGUACAUCUUGGCCUACCAUUUAACAGAACAAACAGCAUAGCCCUACCCAAAAUUAUCAUCAUUGUAUUGCAUCCCACUGAUUAUAAUGAAUCGAAUUGAUCAUGUGGACAAAAACAUAACUUGAAGGACUAAAAUGCAGACCAGACUUCUCAUAUUAAUGGACAAAAUGCUACAAACUAUAGCAGACCACAAGUACCAGAUGUGUUAUAGGUUAUGACAGUACCAAAUAUAAGAGCAGACAAGUUAUCUUCUAAUGUGAUGUUUUUUGCUACCGUACAAGUGCGAAAUUGGUGCUGAGUCCGAGUCUUCAGCCUGAAUUUAGAGAGGUGACAGAUUGAGUGAACUCAUUGAACCGACAUCAUCAUUCAAACGAUGCUUAUGUCACGACUCAAACCUACCUGAUAUCGACCAAACCCUAGAAAAACAUGAAUUGGAUAAAGAAGCCUUUUAUUUCAACAGUCAAGUAAAAUAUUUUGUGCCAUAUAUGUAUGGUAUUGUUCUCAUGAAGGAAAACCUGUUUUCUCUUAGAAAAGAAUUUUUAUAAAGGGCCAAGAAAAAAAUGUACAUGGAAUUGCAUUUCCUUCCUUACAAAGUCAUUGGUGUUUUUUCUUUUUAUUUUCUUUUGUAAGCUCUUUUAAUACAUGUAGCCCAUUCAAAUGUGAAGUAAGGUCGAGGAAGAUAUCUUCUCUGCAAGAAAUUCUGAGACCACCCAUUGGAUGAUCAAAUCCAAAUUAAUCUUCUGCCAUAUGUAGUAGCUCUUGGAAUGUAGUUGCCCAAUUGUUGAAAUAUAUCAUGUCCUCUAACUCACUGUCCAGUGCAAAUCAAUCCCAAAAUCAUAUUGCGGUCCAGGUUCUGACAUGAAGUAAUGAUUCAUGAACUAAAAUAGAACAUGGCCAGAUGCUGGAAGACAACCAAAAACUCGUACAAAUCCUCAUGCUUCUCCUAUUUCAACCAUUGGUUAGACAGGGUAAUGUCUUUCUCUUCCCUCCUGUCUGAAUUCCCAUAAAACUGAACAUAUGCUUAGCCUUCCCUCUUAAGCACUUUUCAUGCAUUUCAAUCAAGGAACUCAGUUGAAAGACUCCAUGUAUCACAGUAGUAAAUGGACAGACCACAGUGGAAUUCAUAUGUUUAUCUGGCUUACGGACCAGUUCAUCUCUGAAAAACGAGAAACAUUAGCUCCUGAAGGCUUUAUCAUCCACCCCCCAGGUGGUAAUUGCAAAUGUGUAUAUGUACACAAUAUGCCCUGCCAUUUAUUAGAGAACUACCAAAAAAAGACCACUUGAAAUCCCAGAGAUGGAGAAACCUCUUGUCGAUUUAAGAACUGUACAAAAGCUCAAUCUGUAUGUGCAUUAGAGGCAUGCCUGAGAAAUCUAAUUCCUUUCUGUCUUCAUGGGGAGGAGACACAAUGGGGACUUCAUUGGCCACAUUGAUAACUUGGCUAUUACCAUUCACUUAAUUACAGAGGUGCUGACAUCCCAUAUUAGACCCUUCAAAGCUAUGUAAUAACAAUUCAUUUUCACAGCUUGAACUUACCUUUCAAUCCAAUGACAGACUCGAACAUGAUUCUCUCCUGACAAAACAGAUACUGGCUUAGUUGAUAUGGAUGUAUUAUUAUCAUUUAGGCAUUUUGCUUUUUCCAUUUCCAAACAAAGAAACUGUGAAACAGCAAUGGCCAAGUUUCUGAGUGUUAAGAGGAGAAUACAAGGGAAUGGCAUGGUUUUUUUUUUUUCUCCAAAAAACAAAGUCAAAGUCAAAGAAAUCCUUCAUAUUCUUUAUGUGAAGCUGAAAACAGAGAUCCAUUGCUGUCAUAUGACAUCCCAGUUUUCAUUUGCUUGGAAUGUUAUCAGAAAGGGCGACCCUUCAUAUGGAAUUUGGAUAAUCUCUCUUGGAGCCCUUCAAACUUAACGACUAGAAGAAACACAUUGACAAGGACAUCUGAAUAAUAUGAUUUCCUUUAUGGAUAAUUUAUUGCAGGCAACAUCAUAACAUGAACUGAUGAUUUGUGAUUCAAUGUUAUUGUCUGAUAAUGUCAAAAGAAAUGAAUUAGUGGUAGUUUUUGUGUUUAUCAGAACACAAACAAGCUUCAGACAUUUAUCACUGGAAGGCUAUGGUUAGCCAAAUGAAUAUAGUCCCUACCAGUUGGUUGAAACAGCUAACAUUUUCAAGUGGGCUCCUCAAGUUUGUUCUGAUAAUUUUAAGCAGCAGGCCAUGACGAGUUGCAGCAAAUAAAUUUUUGGUAGUAAGACCACCGAAAUCUUAUUAUUAGUUGGUAGGCAAAACCAUGUGAUCCCUUGUGUUGAAUGUCCAUAUAUGGACCCUAUCAAAGACUUCUCUUCACACCAACCCCAUUUGAGAAACUGGCCAUACAGAAUUUGCUUGCACUAUAUAUAUUCUACUCAUCCUAAGGAUAUGGCAUUCCACUGCCAAAGUUUUCUUAUUCUAGCACAUCUCAGAGUACCAUUUUACUUACCAUUAAUUUUCUCUGAUCAUACAAGUCAUGGGUUUUCGCUUGCCUGGGAUUGUUAAUGCAAAGCAAGUCGUGCAGCAAGUGUGCAAGGGUGCAGAGGCCAAAAAUGUACCAAAAGGCUAUUUUGCUGUUUAUGUGGGAGAAGUUCAAAAGAAGCGAUUUGUGGUUCCAAUCUCAUACUUGAAGAACCCUUCAUUCCAGAACUUGUUGAGUCAGGCUGAAGAAGAGUUCGGGCUUGAUCAUCCAAUGGGUGGUCUCACAAUCCCCUGCACAGAAGAAGCCUUUAUUGAUCUUACUAGUAGUUGGAACUGCUCAUGAGAGGGGAAGAAGUUAUGCAAAUGGCUAGUCAGUAGGACAUGUAAUUUCUAACGCCAUUGACUUGUAAUCCAGUCUCUCCAAUUUUGAGUUAGGAGAACUGGGUUGUUUCAUUUCCACAAAUUGUAAAUUGUUCUAUACAUUUUUCUGUAUAGAAAGUUGAGAGUCAAAUCUCUCUACAACAAAACAUUCAAACAGAAUCUCUUGGUUUUCCUCUUUCUCAUUGAUUUUGUUUCCCCUGGUCUUCUUAUAUAAAUAGUCACCAUGUAUAUGCACAUCAAAUUUGAGAAGAGUAACAAAAAAAUCCUAGAAGCUAAGGCCUGCUUGAUGGUUUUUAGCUCCUUCACUGCAGAUACUGAUGUGCAUAGACCUGUCGUAAAUGUUUGGGCAGAAUAUGUUCAUUUUCCAUUUACUUCAACCAAAAGCUAAAUCUUCAGUCCAGGAGUUGCUUUUCAAUUACCAUGGUCAGUGAAGCAUUGGGAUCUUGUUUCUUCCUUUCUUUUUAUCUUCGAUUUUCUCGUUUUCCCCAUUCCUCGUAGCUAGCCAGAGUCUCAGCUUACUCUGUUCAAGACUAUAUUUGGAAACUAGUUACAGAUCAACCAGUUAAUAUAGAUUUUGAUAUUUUGCAAUGCAGUUUUACCAUAUAUACUGUAACUUUGAUGGGGUUAGGCCAGUUUUUCUUCCUACUUCUGUUCAGCAUCAUUGAAUAAAAAGGCAACAAAAAUUAGGGAAAAGUAGCAGAGCUGCUGAGUUGUCAUUUCAUAGUGAUAAUAUCAUCCAUUAGACUUGCACCCAGGUAUUAAAAUUAGUCCAACUGCUAGUGGAACUACUAGGAAACACUUCAUGUGCUCUUUACAAGGGUCUGUUGCAAGCUGGUGUACUAAAGCAGGUCGGUGCCAGUGAUUUUUGUUGAUGUCAUGUUGUUAACAGCAGCUUUACUUUUUCAUUCAGCUGAGAUAUACCUUGAAUAUAUGUCAUUUUCAUGCUUUUUACAGUUUGUUCCAUGUUUAUUUUCAUGAUCUAACAUAGGAUGAUAGUAACCAUAUACACGUUGUUCUUGUACAGUUCUUAAAUUGACAAUAGGCUUCUCCUGUUAGUAACUCUUGGAUUUGGAGUAGCACCUGUAUGGGUGGUUCUCUAAGAAAUGGUACGGCAUCAUACGUUGAACAUUAUGAAUAGGAAGGCGAAGCUGCAUGAUCCGUCAGAAAGUGUUGUCUCUCAAAAGAAAAGUUCCCAACCCUUUGAUCUAUAGAUACACUCAAUCUCAUAUUUAAAACCCACACAAGUCUUUGACAUUGUCUACCACCAAAGCUUUAAUUCCUUUAUCCUACAAUUCCCCCAAAAUCAUUUUCUUGUUCUUUUUCUGUAGAUAUAUAUGUUGUCUCCACUAUAAAUCAUGGACUUUUCGAUUUAUGAUUCUAUUUCUUUUCAUCUCUUAAAGAACCUCUUGACCAACUCUUACCAGAAGAACUUGGGAAGCUGAAAGCUAGUCAUUUGAGGAUUUGGGAUGAAAACAAGUUACAAUAUUGCAAGGUUUUCUACAUAAGGGAAAAAUGAAUCUUUGUUCCCUCAGGUUAAACUUGAGGCCAAGGGAUCUUUGUGUACUUGCUAUAUGCUGCAAGUCAACACUUGUGAGGCAGUUGGGUGCAUGCAACUACGAAUAACCAAUAAGCCUAUUGUUUUCCCUGCUUACAUAUCAAAUGCUAAGUUCUCUCUUUCCUUUUCCUAGAAAUACUGGCAGUAUUGAUUCUUCUAAAAGUCACUAAAUCUUCAGUAGACGGCUUGUUUUGUCCUUCAACAUGGCAGUGAAACAAAUCCCCUAUCAUAUAACUACACCAUCUAAUGGAUAAGCUAUCUUUUGGAGGAUAUAAUGUGAUGGUCAUACAAAUAACUCAAAGCCAGAGAUAUCUAGGCUUUUAAUCAUUUAUCAUUUGACAAGUGUCACACUAAGAUUCCUCAUCUCAGUUGCCAAAUAUUUAGGUUGCUGAUGGUUGUGUGUUGCAUCACAAUUGAAACAUAUGAGUUUGACCACCGCAAUGAAAGACUUUAUCUGAUUCAUGGUCUUCUGGGGUUGGUGAAUCUGCUUGAUUUGUGUCUAGACAUAGACAUCAUAGAACAAUAGCAUAUGAUAUGUUGGUAUGGUGCUUCUGUUCAAUCUUUCAUUCCCCUGAAAUUCUGGCUGAAACUCGUACUCGGCACCAACUCCUCACUCGGAUGUAACAAGAAACAUCAUCGCGUUAGAAGAUAACUUGUCUACUCAGAUGUUCAACAGGGGUGGCCUGCUAUAUUUUGAAGCAUUUUGUACUUGAAUAUAAGAAAUCUGGUCUCUGAGUUAGUCCCUGAAGUUAGGCUUUUAUCCAAAUUAUCAGAGGGAUAUACAUUGCAAUCAGUCGGAUGCAUUACAAUAAUAAUAAUUUCAAGUGGGACUAUGCUGCUUGUUCUGUUGAGUGGCAGGCCACAAUGAACCAGCAAUUACAUCACAGUAGGAAUGCUAUCAAAAUCUUAUUAUUAGUUGGGAAGCAAAACCAUGUGACUCUUUGUGAGUUAUCUCCUUUAAGGGACCCCAUUGCAGUAGUCUCUUCAUCACUCAUUCCACUUGAGAAUACUGACCAUACAACAUUUUCUCUUUAAAUAUACCUACUCUGUGGGCAUACAUCCCCCAAGUUUCAAAGCAUUCUUAUAUUCCGAAAUCUUUGAAAUCCUUUCCCACCAUCACUUUUUGAGAAACUAAAUUUGAAACUCAUGGCAAUCCGUUUUCAGAGGAUUAUUCCUGCCAAGCAGAUCCUGAGACGCAUUCUUCCAUCUUUGGAGUCCACAAAUGUGCCGAAAGGCCAUGUUCCUGUCUAUGUUGGAGAAACUCAGAAGAAGAGAUUUGUGAUUCCAAUUUCAUACUUGAAGCAUCCUUCAUUCCAAAACUUGCUAAGUCAGGCUGAGGAAGAGUUUGGGUUUGAUCAUCCACUGGGUGGCCUCACAAUCCCAUGCAGAGAAGAAGCCUUCAUUGAUCUAACUUGCAGUUUGAACUGCUCAUGAGCAAGGAGAAAGAUCUCAAAAUGGCCGGCCUCAAGCACUCUCAUCUCUAACACCACUGACAACAAUUUUGUAUCAUUGCGAAAUAGGUCUUUUUGAAGUGAAAACAAUGUAAAUUUCUUCUAUUUUUUUCUGUAAAGCAGGUUGACAGUCAAAUGUCUUCAUCUUAAUCACACAGAAAUAACUAUGUUCCUUUUUCUUUCUUUUCUCCCUUGUGAUUCCUUAUUAGCCAAAAAGAAGUUUCAUUUUUUCAGUUUUCGGUCUUUCUAUUACAUCCAUGCAACAGUUUGCUUCUCCCUCUGUGUAACGCACCAUCAUUCUAAAUUGUAAAACACUUAGCUCUGAUAUUGAAUUAAAAGUUCAGAUAAACAAGAAAGAUAUAAGCUGUAAUCAACAUGAAAAGUAGAAGACAUUCCAGGAAUAUUCACAGCUGGAAGCCAGAGGGAGAACAACAGUUAACAUGUCCCCAACAAAAAUCACUGGCAUUGAGCUACUUUAGUACAUCAACUUGCAAGGAACACUCUCACAUGAAGUGCCUCCUACUAGGGCCCAAGGCAGUAGAAUCCAUUUUAAAACAUAAGAUCAUUGGUUGCAGUGUUAAAUUGGAAAAUUUGAAUUAUUUUAAAACACAAGUGCCUCAUCUCUCUCUCUCUCUCUCUCUCUCUCUCUCUCUUCCAUUUUUUUUUUAUUAAAAUUAAGGAACAGGCUUAGCCCCAUGAAGAUCAGGUAAAUAUGGUAAAUAUGUAUAUAUAACCACUUUGAGAGACACAUUCAAAUGCUUUCAAUGCUAAUCAGAAAAAGUCAGAAAAGAUAAGGUUAUCAUCAAUAUAAACAAUUGCAGAGAAUGUAUACCAAUUAAAUGUCAUUUAUAAUAUUUAGGAAUUCCAAGGCAAUCAAAUUCUAUUCAUAAUGUCCAAGACAUACUGUGAAUGUUAUUUUAUCAUCUAUGUAUGGUAAUUGAACAAGUCUUUGAUUGAAGGUUUAGCUUUAGGUUUGCUUUGAGUGGUAAACUAAACAUUAUGACUCCCAAAUGGUUUAUUUAUCAAACCUUUGCUCAAAUUUUUGUGUUUUGGAUUGCUCAACUCAAAUUUUUUAGCUAUCUGGUAAUCUGAUCUAUAUCAACCAACAAGUGGGAACUAUAUUCAUUGAUCUACUAAGCAUAGCUCACCCAUAGCAUAUGAUAGAAACUUGUUGGUGUUCUAAAAAAAACAAAUUAUGAGCUCAUGUGAUGAUGUUGCUUGAAAUAAAUUUUCCAUAGGGGAAAUCACGUUGUUCAAAGUCCUUGUCAAGGUAUUAAACAACAAAGAUAAACAAAGGAAAAUGUAAUGGCUACCGGCAAGGAAUGGAUAUUGAUAAUAAAACAAUGCCCUUCUCCUGUCCCCAUUUGUCCUACCAUUGGAAAUGCCUCUACUUGGUUUUCAGAUUCAAACAUAAUCCUGUUUCUAUCCUUCUCCAUAGAUUCAAGUUCUAAAAUUCUGUCUAGAUGCUCAAUCAAAGAUAUAAAUCAACAUUGGCACUUCUUUAAGCAUGUCAAUUGGUUUCUGAUGAGCAUUAAAGCUCCAAAAUGGGCACCACUUUGAAUUAGGAAGGUUCAAAGAAGGCCAUUCAUUUGAAAUUACAUUUACAUUUUGACUACUAUUUCUAAUCCAUCAAUUACAACAACAAGAAUAGGAUACUAAAACUUGAUAUGUUUUUAUGAAUAACAAUCAUCAUAAGUUGUCCUUUCUUGAAAGUUGCUGAAUAUGGCCUUACCAGAAUAAUAGAAUCCAAAAUAUUUAAACUAAGUAGAUUUGGUUUCAUUGGACACUGGAAACUUAUGGCAAUAACUUUUACUAAAUGGCUGCCUGAGAAAGACAAAUAGCAUAAAAAAUAAGUUAAAGCUAAGCAAUUAAGAUGAACAAAUUUGAUUGUCAACUUUUCCAGAAAAAUGGAAUAAAUUUACAUUGUUCUCAAGACCAAAAAAGAAAAAAGAAAAAAACCCAACUCAUAAAUUCAAAAAUGCUGGGUUGGUUUUUGUGGUCAAUGGUGUCAUAGCUUUGGUAUCCUUGAGCCUGGUCAUUAUAUGAUUUUCCUCCUUGCUCAUGAGCAAUUCAAGCUGUAAGUUAGAUUGAUGAAGGCUUCUUCUCUGCAUGGGAUUGUGAGUCCACCCAGUGGAUGAUCAAACCCGAACUCUUCCUCAGCCUGACUUAGCAAGUUUUGGAAUGAAUGAUGCUUCAGGUAUGAAAUUGGAAUCACAAAUCUCUUCUUCUGAGUUUCUCCAACAUAGACAGGAACAUAGCCUUUGGGCACAUUUGUGGGCUCUGGAGAUGGAAGAAUGCGUCUCAGGAUCUGCUUGGCAGGAAUAAUCCUCUGAAAACGGAUGGCCAUGAAUUUCAAGCUUAGUUCUACAAACUAAAGUAGUUGAAAGAAAUGGAUUUCUAGAUGUUUGGGAAGCAAGAAAAGUUUGAUACUUUGUGGAUAUGCCCGUAGAAUAGAUGUAUUUAUAGAACAAAUGCUAUGUGGCAAGUUUUUUCAAAUGGAAUGAAUGGUGGAGAGACAAUUGCAAUGGGGGUCCCUUAAACAAGAUAUAUCACAAGGCAUCACAUGGUCUUGCCCCUGAUGCUUUCAUAUAUUUGUUGGUACAUCUUGGCCUACCAUUUGCCAAUUGAUCAUGUGGAGAAGGACUAAAAUGCAGACCAGACUUCAUAUUCAAGGACAAAAUGCUACAAACUAUAGAAGACCACAAGUACCAGAUGUGUUAUAGGUUAUGACAGAACCAAAUGUCAGAGCAGACAAGUUAUCUUCUAACGUGAUGUCUUUUGCUACCAUACAAGUGAGAAAUUGGUGCUGAGUCUGAGUCUUCAGCCUGAAUUUAGAGGGGCAAAAUAUCGAAUGGACUCAUUGAACCAACAUAGCAUAUGGUAUUAUUCUAAUGAUGCUGAUGUCUAGGCUCAAACCAACCUGAUAUUGACCAGACCCUAGCAAAAUAUGAAUUGGAUAAAGAAGCUUUUUAUUUCAACAGUCAAACCAACCUGGUACUGUUCUCAUGCAGGGAUACCUGUUUUCUCUUAGAAAAAAAUUUUUAUACACGAGGACAAAGAAAAGCAAAUGUAAAUGAGAUUGCAUUGCCUCCCUUACAAAAUUGUCAUUGGUGUUUUUUCCUUUCAUUUUCUUUGGUAGGCUCUUUUUGUAUAUGUAGCCCAGUCAACUAAGAAGUCGGAUUGAGGAAGAUAUCUUCUCUGCAAGGAAUUCUGAGACCACUCAUUGGAUGAUCGAAUCCAAAUUCUUCUUCUGCCUUAUGUAGUAGCUAUUAGAAUGGAAGUUGGACCAAGCAUGAUAUUGAAACUGCAAAGCGCUUCUUCUGUCCCUCUCCAACAUAAACCACAAGGUAGCCUUUUGGGAUGUCUGCAGCUGUUGCAAAUGUGUGUAUGUACACAAUGUGUCCUGCCAUUUAGUAGAGGACUACCAAAAAACGACCCACUUGAAAUCCCAGAGAUGAAGAAACCUCUUGUUGAUUUAAGAACUGUACAAAGCUCAAUCUGUAUAUGCAUUAGAAGCAUGCCUGAGAAAUCUAAUUCAUUUCUGUCUUCUUGGGGAGGAGAUAGAAUGGGGACUUCAUUGGCCACAUUGAUAACUUGGUCAUUACCAUUCACUUAAUUGCAUAGGUGCUGCCAUCCCAUAUUAGACCAUUCUAAGCUACGUAAAUAAUAAUUCAUUUUCAGAUGGGCUCUCUAUUGCUUGAACAAUCCAACUAAAAAACUUAAACAUGAUUCUCCCCUGACAAAACAGAUACUGGCUUAGUUGAUAUCGAUGAAUUAUGAACAUUUAGGCAUUUUGUUUUUUCCAAUUCCAAACAAAGAAACUGUGAAACAGCAAUGGCUGAGUAUUCUGAGUGUUAAGAGAAGAAUACAAGGGAAUGGCAUGGCUCCUUUUUUUUUUUGGAAAAAAAAAAAACAGUCAUAGUCAAAGGAAUCCUUCAUAUUCUUUAUGUGAAGCUCAAAACAGAGAUCCAUUGCUGUCAUAUGACAUCCCAGUUUUCAUUUGCUUGGAAUUGUUGUCAGAAAAGCAGCCCUUCAUAUAGAAUUUGGAUAAUCUCUCUUGGAAUCCUUCAAACUUUGACUAGAAGAAACACAUUGACGAGGACAUCUAAAUAAUAUGAUAUCCUAUAUGGAUAAUUUAUCCCAAGCAACAUCAUCACAUGAAUUGAUGGUUUGUGAUUCAAUUUUAUUGUCUGCUAAUGUCUAAAGAAAUAAAUCAGUGGUGAUUUUCAUGUUUAUCAGAACACCAACAAGCUUCAGACAUAUAUCACUGGAAGGCUAUGGUUAGCGAAAUGAAUGUAGUCCCUACAAGUUAGUUGAAAUAGCUAACAUUUUCAAGCGGACUUCUCAAUUUUGUUCUGAUAAUUUUAAGCAGUAGGCCAUGACAAGUCGCAGCAAAUAAAUUUUCAGGAUUGAAACCACCAAACUCUUAUUAUUAGCUGGUAGGCAAAACCAUGUGAUCCCUUGUGUUGAAUGUCCAUAUAUGGACCCUAUCAAAGACUUCUCUUCACCACCAGCUCCAUUUGAGAAUACUGUUCAUACAGAAUAUGCUUCCUCUAUAUAUAUUCUACUCAUUAUAGGGAUAUGACAUCCCACUGCCAAAGAUUUCUUGUUAUAACUCAUCUCAGAGUACCGUUUUACUUACCAUUACUUUUCUCCGAUCAUACAAGUCAUGGGUUUUCGCUUGCCUGGGAUUGUUAAUGCUAAGCAAAUCCUGCAGCAAGUGCGCAAGGGUGCAGAGGCCAAAAAUGUACCAAAAGGCUAUUUUUCUGUUUAUGUGGGAGAAGUCCAGAAGAAGCGAUUUGUGGUUCCACUCUCAUACUUGAAGAACCCUUCAUUCCAGAACUUGUUGAGCCAGGCUGAAGAAGAGUUCGGGUUUGAUCAUCCAAUGGGUGGUCUCACAAUCCCCUGCACAGAAGAAGCCUUUAUUGAUCUUACUAGUAGUUGGAACUGCUCAUGAGAGGGGAAGAAGUUAUGCAAAUGGCUAGUCAGUAGGACAUGUAAUUUCUAACGCCAUUGACUUGUAAUCCAGUCUCUCCAAUUUUGAAUUAGGAGAACUGGGUUGUUUCAUUUCCUCACAUUGUAAAUUGUUCUAUACAGUUUUCUGUAUAGAGAGUUGAGAGUCAAAUGUCUCCAUACAAAACAUUCAAACAGAAUCUCUUGGUUUUCCUCUUUCUCAUUGAUUUUGUUUCCCCUGGUCUUCUUACAUAAGUAGUCACCGAGUAUAUGCACAUGAAAUUUGAGAAGAGUAACAAAAAAAUCCCAGAAGUUUAGGCCUGCUUGAUGGUUUUUAGCUCCGUCACUGCAGAUACUGAUGUGCAUAUGCCUGUCAUAAAUAUUUGGGCAGAAUAUGUUCAUUUUCCACUUAUGUCUACCAAAAUCUAAAUCUUCAGUCCCGGAUUUGCUUUUCAAUUACCAUGGUCAGUGAAUAAACCAACUGUGGGCAUCGGGAUCUUGUUUCUUCCUUUCUUUUUAUCAUCAAUCUUCUCGCUUUCCCCAUUCCUUGUAGCUAUUAAAGCUAGAGGCUUACUCUAUUCAAGACUACAUUUGGAAACUACUUACAGAUCAACCAGGCAUUAUUGAUUUUGAUAUUUUGCAAUGCAGUUUUACCAUAUAUGGGGUUAGGCCUGUUUUUCUUCCUACGUCUGUUCAGCAUCAUUGUAUAGAAAGGCAACAAAAAUUAGGGAAAAGUAGCAAGCUGCCAGAUUGUCAUUUCAUUGCGAUGAUAUAAUCCAUUUGACUUUCACCCAGGUAUUAAAAUUGGUCCAACUGCGCGUGGAACUAGUAGGAAACAUUUCAUGUGCUCUUCACAAGGGUCUGUUGCAAGCUGGUGUACUAAAGCAGCUCAGUGCCAGUGAUUUUUGUUGAUGAUAUGUUGUUAACAGCAGCUGUACUUUUUCAUUCAGAUGAAAUAUAUACCCUGAAUAUAUGUGAUUUUCAUGUUUAUUACAGUUUAUUUGAAUGUUUAUUUUCAUGAUCAAACAUAGGAUGAUAGUAACUAUAUACGGGUUGUUCUUGCACAGUUCUUAAAUCGACCAUAGGCUUCUCCUGUUUGCAACUCUUGGAUUUGAAGUGGGUCCUGUGUGGGUGGUUCUCUAAGAAAUGGUAGGGCAUCAUGUGUUCGUGAGUAGGAAGGCAAAGCAGAAUGAUCCUUCAGAACGUAUUGUCUCUCAACAGAUGAGUUCCCAACCCUUCCAUCUAUACAUAUACUCAAUCUCAAAUUUAAAAUCCACACUAAGUCUUUGACAUUUUCUACCACCAAAGCUUUAAUUCCUUUAUCCUGAAAAUCCUUCCAACAUAGAUAUAUUUGCAGUCUCCACUAUAAAUCAUGGACAUCUAUCAAAGAUAUGUGUGUUGCACACAUUACUCAAAAGAGACAUAGUUCUGAAAUUGAAGAAAAAAAUUAUAAAUUUAUCAUUCCUUUUCUUCUCAUAUCUUAAAGAACCACUUGACUGACUCUUACCAGAAGAACUUGGGAAACUGAAAGCAAGUUUUUCAUUUGAGGAUUUAGGAUGGAAACAAGAUACACUAUUGAAAUGUUUUCUACAUAGGGAAACAUGAAUCUUUUUGUUCCCUAAGGUCAAACUUGAGACUAAGGGCUCAUGGUGUGCCUGCAACAUGCUGAAUGUCAACACUUGUAAGGCAGUUCAGUGCUUGAAACAAAAAAUAACUAAUAAAUUUGUUUAGUAUUAAUUCUUCUAAAAGUUCCUAAGUCUUCAGUAGAGGGCUUGUAUUGUCCUUCAACAUGGCAGUGAAACAAAUCCCCUGUUAUAUAUACCACACCAUCUAAUGGAUAAGCUAUCUUUUGAAGUAUAUAACGUGAUGGCCAUGCAAUUAACUCAAAGCCAGAGAUAUUUAGGAUUCUAAUCAUUUAUCAGUUUCCAAAUAUUCAGGUUUCUGAUUGUUGUGUGUUGCCUCACAAUUGAAACAUUUGAGCUUGACCUCUGCGAUGAAAGACUUUAUCCGAUUCAUGGUUCCCUGGGGUUUGGUGUAUCUGCCUGAUUUGGGUCCAGACAUAGGCAUCAUAGAACAAUACCAUUUGAUAUGUUGGUAUGGUGCCUCUGUUCAAUCGUUUAUCCUCCCAAAUUAUGGCUGAAGCUCGUUCUUGGCACAAAUGCCUCCCUUGUAUGUAACAAGAAACAUUAUGGCAUGAGGAGAUAAUUUGUCUGCUUUGAUAUACAGCAGGGGUGGCCUACUAUAGUUUGAAGCAUUUCGUCCUUGAAUAUGAGAAAUCUGGUCUGUAAGUUAGUCCCUGAAGUUAGGCUUUUGUCCAAAUAAUCAGUGGGAUAUACAUUGCAAUCAGUCAGAUGCAUUACAAAAAUAAUAAUUUCAAGUGGGACUCUGCUGUUUGUUCUGUUUAGCGGUAGGACAUAACGAACCAGAAAAUAUAUCACAGUAUGAAUGCUAUCAAAAUCUUAUUAUUAGUUGGGAGGCAAAACCAUGUGACCCCUUGUGAGUUAUCUCCUCGCAGGGACCCCAUUGCAGGAGUCUCUUCAUCACUCAUUCCACUUGAGAAUACUGACCAUACAGCAUUUGCUCUAUAAAUAUACCUACUCUAUGGGUAUACACCCAUCAAGUUUCAAAGCUUUCUUAUAUUCCGAACUCUUUGAAAUCCUUUCCCACCAUCUCUUUUUGAGAAACUAAAUUUGAAACUCAUGGCCAUCCGUUUUCAGAGGAUUAUUCCUGCCAAGCAGAUCCUGAGACGCAUUCUUCCAUCUCCGGAGUCCACAAAUGUGCCGAAAGGCCAUGUUCCUGUCUAUGUUGGAGAAACUCAGAAGAAGAGAUUUGUGAUUCCAAUUUCAUACUUGAAGCAUCCUUCAUUCCAAAACUUGCUAAGUCAGGCUGAGGAAGAGUUUGGGUUUGAUCAUCCACUGGGUGGCCUCACUAUCCCAUGCAGAGAAGAAGCCUUCAUUGAUCUAACUUGCAGUUUGAACUGCUCAUAAGGAGGAAAAUCUCAAAAUGGCCGGCCUCAAGCACUCUCAUCUCUAACACCACUGACCCCAAAAUCC
Molecule: long non-coding RNA, 17149 nt
Filed under: Vitis vinifera (wine grape)
Lineage: Eukaryota; Viridiplantae; Streptophyta; Magnoliopsida; Vitales; Vitaceae
Description: long non-coding RNA (VVIN_LNC000602)
Source: RNAcentral